UACGUAGGUGGCAAGCGUUAUCCGGAAUUAUUGGGCGUAAAGCGCGCACAGGUGGUUUCUUAAGUCUGAUGUGAAAGCCCACGGCUCAACCGUGGAGGGUCAUUGGAAACUGGGAGACUUGAGUGCAGAAGAGGAAAGUGGAAUUCCAUGUGUAGCGGUGAAAUGCGUAGAGAUAUGGAGGAACACCAGUGGCGAAGGCGACUUUCUGGUCUGUAACUGACACUGAGGCGCGAAAGCGUGGGGAGCAAACAGG
This 253-nucleotide ribosomal RNA is filed under the name uncultured bacterium. Its description in RNAcentral is "partial 16S ribosomal RNA". It matches the Rfam family "Bacterial small subunit ribosomal RNA", at positions 524 to 776 of the family's 1533-position model. The record is from RNAcentral.